This 502-nucleotide ribosomal RNA is filed under the name uncultured bacterium. RNAcentral's name for it is "bacterial SSU rRNA". It matches the Rfam family "Bacterial small subunit ribosomal RNA", at positions 28 to 536 of the family's 1533-position model. The record is from RNAcentral.
GACGAACGCUGGCGGCGUGCUUAACACAUGCAAGUCGAACGGACGAGUGAGAUAAGUUUACUUAACUCACAAGUUAGUGGCGGACGGGUGAGUAACACGUGGAUAAUCUACCUGCAACACCGGGAUAACGCUGUGAAAACGGUGCUAAUACCGGAUACGUUCCCUUGUGCGCAUGUAUGAGGGAAGAAAGCUCAGGCGGUUGCAGAUGAGUCCGCGGCUGAUUAGCUAGUUGGUGAGGUAAAGGCUCACCAAGGCGAUGAUCAGUAGCCGGCCUGAGAGGGUGAACGGCCACACUGGGACUGAGACACGGCCCAGACUCCUACGGGAGGCAGCAGUGGGGAAUCUUCCGCAAUGGGCGCAAGCCUGACGGAGCAACGCCGCGUGGGUGAAGAAGGCCUUCGGGUUGUAAAGCCUGUCUUAUGGGAAGAAGUCAGUGACGGUACCAUAGGAGGAAGCCACGGCUAACUACGUGCCAGCCGCCGCGGUAACUACCCACGAGACG